RNAcentral lists this transfer RNA (129 nucleotides) under Notonecta montandoni. RNAcentral describes it as "tRNA-Ser". Lineage: Eukaryota; Metazoa; Arthropoda; Insecta; Hemiptera; Notonectidae. The record is from RNAcentral.
AAGAGAAUGAAGAAUCUAAAAGAAGCUGCUAACUAUCUUUUAAAGCGGUUAAAUUCCGUUUUUCUCUUAUUUAUGUAGUUUAAUUAAAACAUUUCAUUUUCAAUGAAAAAAUGAGUUUUACUCUAUAAA